RNAcentral lists this ribosomal RNA (981 nucleotides) under Salmonella enterica. RNAcentral describes it as "partial 23S ribosomal RNA". It matches the Rfam family "Bacterial large subunit ribosomal RNA", at positions 582 to 1566 of the family's 2925-position model. RNAcentral also lists the same sequence under 1 other name. Lineage: Bacteria; Pseudomonadati; Pseudomonadota; Gammaproteobacteria; Enterobacterales; Enterobacteriaceae. The record is from RNAcentral.
CCCUUUGGGUGUGACUGCGUACCUUUUGUAUAAUGGGUCAGCGACUUAUAUUCUGUAGCAAGGUUAACCGAAUAGGGGAGCCGGAGGGAAACCGAGUCUUAACCGGGCGUUAAGUUGCAGGGUAUAGACCCGAAACCCGGUGAUCUAGCCAUGGGCAGGUUGAAGGUUGGGUAACACUAACUGGAGGACCGAACCGACUAAUGUUGAAAAAUUAGCGGAUGACCUGUGGCUGGGGGUGAAAGGCCAAUCAAACCGGGAGAUAGCUGGUUCUCCCCGAAAGCUAUUUAGGUAGCGCCUCGUGAAUUCAUCUCCGGGGGUAGAGCACUGUUUCGGCUAGGGGGCCAUCCCGGCUUACCAACCCGAUGCAAACUGCGAAUACCGGAGAAUGUUAUCACGGGAGACACACGGCGGGUGCUAACGUCCGUCGUGAAGAGGGAAACAACCCAGACCGCCAGCUAAGGUCCCAAAGUCAUGGUUAAGUGGGAAACGAUGUGGGAAGGCCCAGACAGCCAGGAUGUUGGCUUAGAAGCAGCCAUCAUUUAAAGAAAGCGUAAUAGCUCACUGGUCGAGUCGGCCUGCGCGGAAGAUGUAACGGGGCUAAACCAUGCACCGAAGCUGCGGCAGCGACACUGUGUGUUGUUGGGUAGGGGAGCGUUCUGUAAGCCUGUGAAGGUGUGUCGUGAGGCAUGCUGGAGGUAUCAGAAGUGCGAAUGCUGACAUAAGUAACGAUAAAGCGGGUGAAAAGCCCGCUCGCCGGAAGACCAAGGGUUCCUGUCCAACGUUAAUCGGGGCAGGGUGAGUCGACCCCUAAGGCGAGGCCGAAAGGCGUAGUCGAUGGGAAACGGGUUAAUAUUCCCGUACUUGGUGUUACUGCGAAGGGGGGACGGAGAAGGCUAUGUUGGCCGGGCGACGGUUGUCCCGGUUUAAGCGUGUAGGUGUGUGUUCCAGGUAAAUCCGGUUCACUUUAACACUGAGGCGUGA